UGGGGAAUAUUGCACAAUGGGCGCAAGCCUGAUGCAGCCAUGCCGCGUGUGUGAAGAAGGCCUUCGGGUUGUAAAGCACUUUCAGCGAGGAGGAAGGUGGUGAGCUUAAUACGUUCAUCAAUUGACGUUACUCGCAGAAGAAGCACCGGCUAACUCCGUGCCAGCAGCCGCGGUAAUACGGAGGGUGCGAAGCAGUUAAUUCGGAAAUUAGAUCUGGGGCGUAAAAGCGCACGCAGGCGGUUUGUUAAGUCAGAUGUGAAAUCCCCGGGCUCAACCUGGGAACUGCAUUUGAAACUGGCAAGCUAGAGUCUCGUAGAGGGGGGUAGAAUUCCAGGUGGUAGCGGUGAAAUGCGUUAGAGAUCUGGAGGAAUACCGGUGGCGAAGGCGGCCCCCUGGCACGAAGACUGACGCUCAGGUGCGAAAGCGUGGGAGCAAAACA
Molecule: ribosomal RNA, 439 nt
Filed under: uncultured Serratia sp.
Lineage: Bacteria; Pseudomonadati; Pseudomonadota; Gammaproteobacteria; Enterobacterales; Yersiniaceae
Description: bacterial SSU rRNA
Rfam family: Bacterial small subunit ribosomal RNA
Source: RNAcentral